Molecule: non-coding RNA, 98 nt
Organism: Macaca mulatta (Rhesus monkey)
Lineage: Eukaryota; Metazoa; Chordata; Mammalia; Primates; Cercopithecidae
Source: Rfam
GUCUAUGGCUAUAACACUCUGAUCUCAGAAGCUAAUCAGGGUAGGGCUAGCCAGUACUUUGAUGUAAGAGUGGCUGAGAAUACCAGGUGCUGUAGGCU